This 442-nucleotide ribosomal RNA is filed under the name uncultured bacterium. Its description in RNAcentral is "partial 16S ribosomal RNA". It matches the Rfam family "Bacterial small subunit ribosomal RNA", at positions 338 to 795 of the family's 1533-position model. The record is from RNAcentral.
CCUACGGGAGGCAGCAGUAGGGAAUCUUUCACAAUGGGCGAAAGCCUGAUGGAGCAACGCCGCGUGCAGGAUGAAGGCCUUCGGGUUGUAAACUGCUUUUAUAAGCGAGAAAUAUGAUGGUAACUUAUGAAUAAGGAUCGGCUAACUACGUGCCAGCAGCCGCGGUCAUACGUAGGAUCCGAGCAUUAUCCGGAGUGACUGGGUGUAAAGAGUUGCGUAGGUGGCAUAAUAAGUAGCUAGGGAAAUCUGGUGGCUCAACCAUUCAGACUAUUAGCUAAACUGUUAAGCUCGAGACCGUUAGGGGUAACUGGAAUGUCUAGUGUAGGAGUGAAAUCCGUAGAUAUUAGGAGGAACACCAAUAGCGUAGGCAGGUUGCUGGGACGGUUCUGACACUAAGGCACGAAAGCGUAGGGAGCAAACGGGAUUAGAUACCCUAGUAGUC